This 416-nucleotide ribosomal RNA is filed under the name uncultured bacterium. RNAcentral's name for it is "partial 16S ribosomal RNA". It matches the Rfam family "Bacterial small subunit ribosomal RNA", at positions 360 to 773 of the family's 1533-position model. The record is from RNAcentral.
AAUAUUGGUCACUUGAUGCAACUCUGACCCAGCCUCGUCUCGUUAAGGAUGACGGCCCUGCGGGUUGUUAAUUUCUUUUAUACAGGAAUAAAGUGAGUCCCGUGUAACUUUUUGCCUGUUCUGUAUGAAUAAGGUUCUGCUAACUCCGGGCCACCAGCCGCGGUAAUACGGAGGAUCCAAGCGUUAUCCGGAUUUAUUGGGUUUAAAGGGUGCGCAGGCGGAAGAUUAAGUCGGCGGUGAAAUUUUGCAGCUCAACUGUAAAAGUGCCAUCGAUACUGGUUUUCUUGAGUGUGGAUGAAGUAGGCGGAAUUUGUGGUGUAGCGGUGAAAUGCAUAGAUAUCACGAGGAACUCCGCUUGCGCAGGCAGCUUACUAGGCCAUAACUGACGCUCAGGCACGAAGGCGUGGGGAUCAAAC